Long non-coding RNA from Solea senegalensis (Senegalese sole), 733 nucleotides. RefSeq lists it as uncharacterized. NCBI's taxonomy places the organism in Eukaryota, Metazoa, Chordata, Actinopteri, Pleuronectiformes, Soleidae. The record is from RefSeq and is a predicted model, not a curated record. The transcript has 4 exons.
ACCAUUUUAUUUAUGGGAAAAAAAGACAAGAAGGCCUCUAACAAGUGGGUAGCUGACAUAAUAACCCAUUUGCCCCUCACAUCUACCACCAAAAACUUCUUGGAGAAGAUGAGGAGGGCUUAUGAAUUUCUUUUGACUAAGGAACCGCAGCCCAACACUGACCCAUCAGCAGAGCCUGAUAACCCCACCAUGGAGCAGGGUGACAGCCCCGUCGAGGGUAUGGGCCACAGCCAGGACGAGGAGCAGCACAGCAGCCUCGCCAUGGAGCAACGUGACCACACCUAGGAGACUGUAUUUGUCCUGAACCUUGUCCCUUGUCCGUCUCUCUCUUCUUCUUCUUGUUCUACCUCUACCACUGUUGCAGCAAUGAAGAAGAGGAAGAGAGGAAAUGACUCCCAGUUAAAAAAGGAGGGGCUUAAGAAGAAAAAGGGUUGUCGAAAAUGUAGUAGACAGAAAAUAUUCCAGUUUGGCUCAAUUUCUGGGAGAAGGAUACAUGAGUGGCAAAACCUGGGAUGACACAUGGGAGCCUGCAAACACAUUUGCACAACAACACCACACUGCCACCCCUGAGUCUCCUCCUCCUUCUGGUUCAGUUAGCUGAACCUAACUGGUUGGGCUCUACUCACAGCAGGGGAAAAGAGACAAUCGACAGAAAUGACUGACACUGAGCUCAAAUCAAAUACUGUGCUGCAACACGUGUCUUUUGUGUUUAUUGAAGGAAUGUGUUCAUGGA